RNAcentral lists this ribosomal RNA (255 nucleotides) under uncultured bacterium. Its description in RNAcentral is "partial 16S ribosomal RNA". It matches the Rfam family "Bacterial small subunit ribosomal RNA", at positions 524 to 776 of the family's 1533-position model. The record is from RNAcentral.
UACAGAGGGUGCGAGCGUUAAUCGGAAUGACUGGGCGUAAAGGGCGCGUAGGUGGUUUGUUAAGAUUGAUGUGAAAUCCCUGGGCUUAACCUAGGAACUGCAUCGAUGACUGACGAGCUUGAGUAUUGUAGAGGGUAGUGGAAUUUCCGGUGUAGCGGUGAAAUGCGUAGAGAUCGGAAGGAACACCAGUGGCGAAGGCGGCUACCUGGACAAAUACUGGACACUGAGGCGCGGAAAGCGUGGGGAGCAAACAGG